GACGAACGCUGGCGGCGUGCUUAACACAUGCAAGUCGAACGGAAAGGCCCUUCGGGGUACUCGAGUGGCGAACGGGUGAGUAACACGUGGGUGAUCUGCCCUGCACUUUGGGAUAAGCCUGGGCAACUGGGUCUAAUACCGAAUAGGACCACGCGCUUCAUGGUGUGUGGUGGAAAGCUUUUGCGGUGUGGGAUGGGCCCGCGGCCUAUCAGCUUGUUGGUGGGGUAAUGGCCUACCAAGGCGACGACGGGUAGCCGGCCUGAGAGGGGGACCGGCCACGCUGGGACGGAAAUGCGGCCCAGACUCCUACGGGAGGCAACAGUGGGGAAUAUUGCACAAUGGGCGCAAGCCUGAUGCAGCGACGCCGCGUGGGGGAUGACGGCCUUCGGGUUGUAAUCCUCUUUCACCAGGGACGAAGCGUAAGUGACGGUACCUGGAGAAGAAGCACCGGCCAACUACGUG
This 462-nucleotide ribosomal RNA is filed under the name uncultured bacterium. RNAcentral's name for it is "partial 16S ribosomal RNA". It matches the Rfam family "Bacterial small subunit ribosomal RNA", at positions 28 to 507 of the family's 1533-position model. The record is from RNAcentral.